GAUGCUGCGGCUGGGNCACCUCCUUAACAUGCAAGUCCAACGAUGAAGCCCUUCGGGGUGGAUUAGUGGCGAACGGGUGAGUAACACGUGGGCAAUCUGCCCUUCACUCUGGGACAAGCCCUGGAAACGGGGUCUAAUACCGGAUAAUACUCCUGCCUGCAUGGGCGGGGGUUGAAAGCUCCGGCGGUGAAGGAUGAGCCCGCGGCCUAUCAGCUUGUUGGUGGGGUAAUGGCCCACCAAGGCGACGACGGGUAGCCGGCCUGAGAGGGCGACCGGCCACACUGGGACUGAGACACGGCCCAGACUCCUACGGGAGGCAGCAGUGGGGAAUAUUGCACAAUGGGCGAAAGCCUGAUGCAGCGACGCCGCGUGAGGGAUGACGGCCUUCGGGUUGUAAACCUCUUUCAGCAGGGAAGAAGCGAAAGUGACGGUACCUGCAGAAGAAGCGCCGGCUAACUACGUGCCAGCAGCCGCGGUAAUACGUAGGGCGCAAGCGUUGUCCGGAAUUAUUGGGCGUAAAGAGCUCGUANGCGGCUUGUCACGUCGGAUGUGAAAGCCCGAGGCUUAACCUCGGGUCUGCAUUCGAUACGGGCUAGCUAGAGUGUGGUAGGGGAGAUCGGAAUUCCUGGUGUAGCGGUGAAAUGCGCAGAUAUCAGGAGGAACACCGGUGGCGAAGGCGGAUCUCUGGGCCAUUACUGACGCUGAGGAGCGAAAGCGUGGGGAGCGAACAGGAUAGAUACCCUGGUUAGUCCACGCCGUNAACGUUGGGAACUAGGUGUUNGCNACAUUUCACGUNGUCGGUGCCGCAGCUAACGCAUUAGUUCCCGGCUUGGGAGUNCGGCCCAAGGCUAAACNCAANGAUUGACGGGGCCCNCCAACNGNGGANCUGUNGNUNAUUCNCCNACGCNANAACUACAAGCUUGCUUCCGGAAUAUUAAAAAGNCCCCUGGGUCGNACCGUGGCUGGUNCCNNNNGUCCGAAAUGGUANCCACAGCACUNCUNUGCCNGCCUGGNAGGNNA
This 1020-nucleotide ribosomal RNA is filed under the name Streptomyces sp. LK1312.3. RNAcentral's name for it is "partial 16S ribosomal RNA". It matches the Rfam family "Bacterial small subunit ribosomal RNA". The record is from RNAcentral. Lineage: Bacteria; Bacillati; Actinomycetota; Actinomycetes; Kitasatosporales; Streptomycetaceae.